RNAcentral lists this ribosomal RNA (460 nucleotides) under uncultured bacterium. RNAcentral's name for it is "partial 16S ribosomal RNA". It matches the Rfam family "Bacterial small subunit ribosomal RNA", at positions 338 to 795 of the family's 1533-position model. The record is from RNAcentral.
CCUACGGGUGGCAGCAGUGAGGAAUAUUGGUCAAUGGGCGUAAGCCUGAACCAGCCAAGUCGCGUGAGGGAUGACGGUUCUAUGGAUCGUAAACCUCUUUUAUAAGGGAAUAAAGUGCGGGACGUGUCCCGUUUUGUAUGUACCUUAUGAAUAAGGACCGGCUAACUCCGUGCCAGCAGCCGCGGUAAUACGGAGGAUCCGAGCGUUAUCCGGAUUUAUUGGGUUUAAAGGGUGCGUAGGCGGCCUUUUAAGUCAGCGGGGAAAGUCUGUGGCUCAACCAUAGAAUUGCCGUUGAAACUGGGUGGCUUGAGUGUGGUUGAGGUAGGCGGAAUGCGUGGUGGAGAGGUGAAAUGCUUAGAUAUCACGCAGAACCCCGAUGGCGAAGGCAGCCUGCCAAGCCAUGACUGACGCUGAUGCACGAAAGCGUGGGGAUCGAACAGGAUUAGAUACCCGGGUAGUC